GGAGCAACGCCGCGUGAGUGAUGAAGGUUUUCGGAUCGUAAAGCUCUGUUGUUAGGGAAGAACAAGUGCCGUUCAAAUAGGGCGGCACCUUGACGGUACCUAACCAGAAAGCCACGGCUAACUACGUGCCAGCAGCCGCGGUAAUACGUAGGUGGCAAGCGUUGUCCGGAAUUAUUGGGCGUAAAGGGCUCGCAGGCGGUUUCUUAAGUCUGAUGUGAAAGCCCCCGGCUCAACCGGGGAGGGUCAUUGGAAACUGGGGAACUUGAGUGCAGAAGAGGAGAGUGGAAUUCCACGUGUAGCGGUGAAAUGCGUAGAGAUGUGGAGGAACACCAGUGGCGAACGCG
Molecule: ribosomal RNA, 344 nt
Filed under: Bacillus amyloliquefaciens
Lineage: Bacteria; Bacillati; Bacillota; Bacilli; Caryophanales; Bacillaceae
Description: bacterial SSU rRNA
Rfam family: Bacterial small subunit ribosomal RNA
Source: RNAcentral